RNAcentral lists this ribosomal RNA (474 nucleotides) under Embolemus sp. MC-2010. RNAcentral's name for it is "partial 16S ribosomal RNA". The record is from RNAcentral. Lineage: Eukaryota; Metazoa; Arthropoda; Insecta; Hymenoptera; Embolemidae.
GCUCUGCCCAAUGAAAUUUAAUGGCCGCAGUAUAAAUAACUGUGCAAAGGUAGCAUAAUCAAUAGUCUUUUAAUUAAAGACUUGUAUGAAAGAGUUGAUGAAAAAUAAACUGUUUCUAAAUAAAAAAUAAACUUUUAUUUUAAGUUAAAAUACUUAAAUAAUAUUAAAGGAAGAGAAGACCCUAUAGAAUUUUAUAAAAUAAAUUAUAUUAAAUUUUUAAAUUAUAAUUAAAUAUAAAUUUAAUUUAUUUAAUUGGGAUGAUUUUUAAAUUAUAUAAACUUUAAAGUAAAAAAUCAUUAAUUUAUGAUUAAAAAUAAUUUUUAUUAAAAAUUAAAAAUAAAUUACCUUAGGGAUAACAGCAUAAUAUUUUUAAAUAGCCCACAUUGAUAAAAAUGAUUAUGACCUCGAUGUUGAAUUAAGAUAAAAUUUAAAUGAAAAAAUUUAAAUUUAAAGCUGGUCCAAUUUUAAAAUCUU